GAGAAAAAGUUAAAAGUUCAUCCAAAUAAAAGGGAAGAUCUGAUUUUUACCAGUAAUAAGACUACAGCAUACUAAAUGACACAAGAUGUUCUUUCUCAAUUACCUCUUACAUUUAACAUAAAAGUAGGAAAAGGUUUAACAGUCUAUGCCUACAACAUAGAUCUCCAGGACUAAAAGUACACAAAAUGGCAAUCAGUAUAUCACAAGUGUAAUAACACAUGCAUCUAAUCUGCUUCAGUGGCGAGAACUGGGUGAAUCCUCUCAAACAUUAAUCAGGAACUAGGCAUACCUAAUGAGCGUCAAGCUGAUACAGUAGAUGUACAGAAGAGUUUAUACACAAGGAAGUGAAAAGUGAUGUAAAAGGCAACUAAUACUUCCAUCUACCAUAGUUAAACAAGAAUCUGCAAAUGGUGAUAAUUGCAAUAAUCUUGAUAUAUUAAUGUUUGGCUUUAUAAUUAUAUGCAAUUGUUUCAUAAAUAAAUUAUUUCUCAAAAUU
Physella acuta is the source of this 496-nucleotide long non-coding RNA. RefSeq lists it as uncharacterized. The record is from RefSeq and is a predicted model, not a curated record. Lineage: Eukaryota; Metazoa; Mollusca; Gastropoda; Physidae.